This 18090-nucleotide long non-coding RNA is filed under the name Nicotiana tabacum (common tobacco). RNAcentral describes it as "long non-coding RNA (NTAB_LNC012538)". The record is from RNAcentral. Lineage: Eukaryota; Viridiplantae; Streptophyta; Magnoliopsida; Solanales; Solanaceae.
UCUUGUUCAAUUCUUUUUUAAAAAAAAAACAAUUUCCAAAGACAACUUUCUGCACAUUUCAUGUUUGGGAACAGAAUCACUAAGGAAAGCAAAUACCAGAACCAUAAAUUAGGAUAGGUUUUAAUAAGAAUCGACAACACAAAUGCAAAGUUAAUAUCCCUAAAUGGCCUUUUCAAUGCUUGAUUCACCAUAAAACAGUGCAGAUAGAAUGAGCAAUGAGAUGACCCUGAAAAUUUCAAGUUUCUUCUUAGCCGCGAAGGAUUAAGAGAGUCAGCUACAAUAUUUUGAGUCGAACGGGAAACAACAACCAAAAGGCAAGAACGCGAACCACGAACUCGACCCCGGUGAAACUCGAAUCGGCAACUGAAGACAACAAACUCCCAAACCUCAAGUAAACUCCAUGAGCUUGAAACCGAAAUCGAAAAUGAAAGAAGAAAAAAAAUGAUGAAACGAAGGUUUUUUUUUAUUUUUAUGGUAUUGAAACAGAAUUCCGAGCAAGAAAGAAAACUGGAUUUUUCUCUUUUUUUUUUUACUUUUUUCUGGAAUCAACCAUAAGAAAAAUGAAGAGAGUAAAAAAAUAUCAAACUCCAAAGCCAAACCCCAAUUUUUUUCUCCCCCUUUUCUGUCCGAAAAUCCCCUAUAUAUAGGGAUCCUAGAAGCUUCUUCUCCAAGAAAUUCAAAAAUUAUUUCUCAAAAUAACUUCCAAGAACACUAAAAAAUCCCAAAAAUCUUCAUAAAACAAAAAACGAAAAAAUGGAAGGCAUGGAUCGGUUUUCACUCACAUCCAACAGCUCCCAUUUAUUCGAGAUUUGUUCAAACAAACUAAAGCGCAUGAGGGAGAAGGCGGAUUCGAUUUGGGUGAAAUCAUUAGCGAAUAUCCUGAGUUUGUUAUCAUUGCUACGUGGAAGAAGGAGAAGUGAGGAGGGGGGACCGUGGGGUGACCAGUGGGUGAACUCGUAGGGUUUGGGCGAGUUCCGGCGAGUUUGGAGGCGAGCAGCGAUAGGGGUUGCGGCUGGUCUUGAGAUUAGGUUUAGGAUUAGGGUUUUUUGGGAAAUAUUGGGUUUAUAUUUGGGGGUGUGAGGAUUAAUCAUGGUCGUUGGAUCAAACGGGAUGAAUGGCUGAGAUUAAAAAUUAAAAACGGGGCGGGUCGGUGGGUUUCGUGGGUCAGGAGAUUGGGUUGGCUGGGUUGAAAGGGUUAUGGGAUUGGGCUGCCCAGAUUUGGGCCUCUUUAACAUCCGAAUCGAGCCUAUAAUUUGGGACUUUAACCCUUUUAAAUAUACCAUUUAAGAAAACUUAAACCUUUUCUUUACAAAAAGGAUUUAAAAUUAAUUAUGAUUAAUUAAAGUAAAAUAUAUCAUACUAUGAAACUAUAUUUAUAUAUUAUUUUUUAUAUAAAUUAUUAUAUUCAUAAUAAAAGUAAAAAUUAUGGUAAAAAUAAAAAUAUAUGGCCAUAAAAAUAUUAAUAACCUAAACUAAAUAGAAUAAAAUAAAAUAUGAAACUAUUUUUGUAUUUUUCAAUUUUCUUGUGCUUUAAAAAUAGAAUUAAAUUUAAUAAUAAAGUAAAAUCCUAUAGAAAUAAGUUCAAAUAAAUAUCCUAAAAAUACUAGGACUAUUAGAUGUGAUUUUAAUGUGUGGGUCAAAAAUUACAUGUCUACAGCUGCCCCUCUUUGACGGGAAACACAAAGUAUUUUCAGACAAAGAACAAUAAGACAUGUUUUUUGACCCGACCCUUAUUUAGAGAGACUAAAACCAGAGAAAAGAGAAUGUGACUGAGCCCGGUAUCUGAGUUGCCUACAUAUCCUUGGCUAUAAAGGAAUCAGACCACGUGUAGUUCGGAGUGAGAAGAGCGAUGGAGUACCGAGGUGGAGAGUCGAGUGAAGUGUUGUCGAGGUUCCGGUCCGUGGUUCCUACCAUUACAUCAAAAAUAAAAGGGAAAAAUUACAGCAAAAGUAAAAGAAAAAUAAAAGAUCCUAUCUACUUCUUGUCUUGAAUCUUCCGUGAAUCUCUACUUGAUCUUCAAUAUGCAACUGAAAAAUGGACCCUGUUCUUCAGGCGAGCUCCUGAUGCUUCUUGAAUUUGCGAAAUGAAGCAAAUCUGAAAUGAAUUCCCUCGUUCUCCAGGUGGGCGCCUGCCAAUAGCUUGACUUUGGUAUAAAAUGAGUUCCCUCAUUUUCCAGGUGGGUGCCUGAUUUCCAAAAUUUGAAUUGUAUUCCCUCGUUAUCCAGGUGAGCGCAUGAUUACCAACAAUUUGAAUUGUAUUCCCUCGUUAUCCAGGUGGGUACCUGAUUACCAAAACUUGAAAUGUAUUCCCUCAUUAUCCAGGUGGGCGCUUGAUUGCUAAAACUUGAAACUGUAUUCCCUCGCUAUCUAGGUGGGCGCCUGAUUAUCAAACUUGAAACUGUAUUCCCUCGUUAUUCAGGUGGGCGCCUGAUUGCUAAAACUUGAAACUGUAUUCCCUCGUUAUCNNNNNNNNNNNNNNNNNNNNNNNNNUAGGUGGGCGCCUGAUUACCAAAAACUUGAAUUGUAUUCCGUCGUUAUCUAGUUGGGUGCCUGAUUGCUAAAACUUGAAUUGUAUUCCCUCGUUAUCUAGGUGGGCGCCUGAUUACCAAAAACUUGAACUGUAUUCCCUCAUUAUCCAGGUGGGUGCCUGAUUGCUAAAACUUAAAUUGUAUUCCCUCAUUAUCAAGGUGGGCGCCUGAUUACCAAAAACUUGAAUUGUAUUCCCUCAUUAUCUAGGUGGGCGCCUGAUUACCAAAAACUUGAAUUGUAUUCCCUCGUUAUCCAAGUGGGUGCCUGAUUGCUAAAACUUGAAUUAUAUUCCCUCGUUAUCCAGGUGGGCGCCUGAUUACCGAAAACUUGAAUCGUAUUCCCUCGUUAUCCAGGUGAGCGCCUGAUUGCUAAAACUUGAAUUGUAUUCCCUCGUUAUCUAGGUGAGCGCCUGCCAUUACAACAAAACAAACAAAACAAAAGAAAUUUUCUGCCCCAGUUUGGAGUCUGGGCACAUCUGUGAGUGUUAAUCGAAUCAUGUUACCUAAAGAGAUCUAAGAAUUUAAAAGCUAAAUUCCAUUAUCCAGGAGGGCCCUGAAAAGUUUAAAUUAAAUCUCAUCUUAAGAGUGACAACUUUAAAGCUAAGUUAUAUUUCCUACAGGUAGAACUUACGUUGAAUCUUGUUAUCUAUGAAGGUUUUGAAACCUAACUAGAUCCCAUUAUCCAGGAGGGCCCUGUAAGUUUUAAAUUAAAUCCCAUUAUCCAGGAGGGUCCUUAGAACUUUUAAAAUUAAAUCCUAUUAUCCAGGAGGGUCCUGAGAAUUGAGACUGAAUUUACCUGAGCCAUGCUCUCGUCUUGGAGGAUUCUGAACAGAAUUUCUUGCCCCUGAACCAUGCCUUCUUCAUGGGAGGGUCCCUAUGGAUUAACAAAUUUUCUUGCCCCUGUUUCGGACAAAUAAAAUCUUGUUAGUUGGAAAACGUGGUGGUUAGUUUGUGGCAUCAUUGCUGAGCGUCUGCUUCUGCCACUGCCAUGCUUCAUUCUAAUCAACUGCUUCGAGCCAGCAAGGAGUUUUUUGACCUUUUGAUUGGAACUGGACCAUAAAACCUCUGAAUGAUCUGAAUCUCUUACACUCACUUGUUGCAUUGAGUUUUCAUUCUGAAAGUUGCUGAGUCCUUGUAUUUUCUCAAAAUUCAAGAUUCAAAUGAUUGCAUGAACCUCAGUUAGCACCAUACUGCUUAUUCUAAAUCAAGUCACUUGUGAUGUGCCUGGCCGAACUCCGCUUUGUGCAAUUUAGAAGCUGGUAGUAGGCUUUGGAAUCCUUUCCUGCUUGUUCAACAAGGCUAACUCGAAAGAGACUCAUAACGAUAGACUCAAAGAGCAAAGUGAAAUGAUUUUUGGCAAAAGGGACAAAGGAAAAUUUUGAACCCAGAUGACUAUGUGAAGAAGAAUGGGAAAAGAAGACUUAUCUGAGUGAAGCGACUGGCUUUAAUGACCAUGACAUGCAUUUCGGAUUGAUCAGCCUAAUAUUUCCAACCAAUCAUAGUUCAAUUCAUGUCAUGUCUUCAUACUUCACAAAUCGGGCUUUGACUGAUCUAAUUUCUCUGUAGAGUCAUGAGCCUCAUUCGAUUUGUAGUACCCCGAAGGUUUCUCACUAACAAGCCUCUCUCCUUUGUUCAUCUCUCAACUCACCAUCGCCCUAUGGUGCCCGUGAGGGUUUUCACCAAUAAGACUCUCUCAUUUUAAAUUUUCUCUCAGCUCACCAUCGCCUUACGGUGCCCAUGAGGGUUUUUACCAAUAAGACUCUCUCAUUUUAAAUUUCUCUCUGGUGCCCAUGAAUAGAGUGUUACCCAUGAUGUAAAUCAUACCUCUAUCUCGCUUGACCUGGUAUCCUCAAAGAUUGAUCGGAAGGUCUUUCUUUGGACCAUAAUGUAGGCUUUUGGACAGGGUUAGAAAUAAAGGGUAGCAUGAAGGCUCAAAAUAAUUUAAGAUGAAAAGGAUUCAAAAUUACAACAUUUGGAAUCAGAUCUUUUCAAAACCAAAACUUCUGCCCCAAUUUCUUUGGGUCUGGGGAAUUUUUAUUUUUAUUUUGAUGGGACCGAACCGUAAGGUUUACUACGUAUCCUUAAAAGGAAUCAGGUCGAACGUAGUUCAAAAGAAAGUUAUUUGUUUUUGUUCCCUUUUUCUUUUCUUUUCUUUUUUUCUUUUCUUUAUUUUUUUUCUUUCUUUCUUUUCUUUUCCUUUUUUUCUUUUCUUUUUCCUUUUUUUUUCAUUUUUCUUAUUUUUCAUUUAUUUUUCAUCAUUUUUUUUCUAAUUCUGCUACUGAUUCCAAAAGAGGAAUAUGAAAGAAAAUAAAUAAGGCUCAAAAGGGGUAGCAAAGGAUGAAAGUAUUUCGGUAGAGGAACAAAAUGCCUUCGUCAUUUCAACUUUGAACAUGCCAAGAACAAAAUACAAUUGGAGGUAAGCAAAGAAGUCAUACAUAGUACCUCUUAACUGCAUCAGAAUUGAUAGCCAUAUCUACACAUUUGCCUUCUAUGUCUGUUAAAUACAAAGUUCCAUUGGGCAACGCUCUUGUCACAACGAAUGGCCCCUGCCAGUUUGGGGUGAACUUGCCUUUAGCUUCCACCUAGUGAGGAAGUAUGUGUUUCAAUACUAUCUAGCCCACUUCGAAUUUUUGAGGACGCACCUUUUUGUUGUACGCUCUUGCCAUUCUUCUGAUACAAUUGACCAUGACAUACUGCAGCCAAUCUUUUCUUAUCAAUCAAACUCAACUACUCAAGCCAGGUUUUGGCCCACUCAUCAUCAUCAAUUUUAGCUUCUGCUACGAUCCAAAGGGAUGAAAUCUCAACUUCCACAGGUAUAACUGCCUCAGUUCCAUAUACCAGCAAAUAAGGAGUUGCACCUACUGAAGUGCGAACAAUAGUGCGAUAACCCAGUAAGGCAAAAGACAACUUUUCAUGCCACUGCCUAGAACCUUGAACCAUCUUACGAAGUAUCUUCUUUAUGUUUUUGUUGGCAGCCUCAACAGCUCCAUUUUCCUUGGAACGAUACGGAGUAGAGUUACGAUGCAUGAUCUUAAACUGUUGGCAUACCUCUUUCAUCAAAUGACUAUUGAGAUUAGCAGCAUUGUCUGUGAUGAUCACCUUGGGAAUUCCGAACCGACAACUGAUGUUUGAAUGAACAAAAUUCACCACUGCCUUCUUGGUCACGGACUUGAAAGUUACAGCUUUGACCCACUUGGUAAAGUAAUCAAUGGCCACCAGAAUAAACCUAUGCCCGUUUGACGCUGCCGGCUCAAUUGGUCCAAUGACAUCCAUGCCCCAAGCAACAAAGGGCUAAGGUGCAGACAUUGUAUGUAAAUCAGAUGGGGGAGAAUGAAUCAAAUCACCGUGUACCUGGCAUUGAUGACACUUGCGAACAAAACUGAUAGAAUCCCAUUCCAUGGUGAGCCAAUAAUAACCUGCUCGAAGUAUCUUCUUUUCCAAGACAUACCCAUUCAUAUGCGGCCCGAAAACUCCAGAAUGUACUUCGGCCAUGAUAGUUGAAGCUUCUUUAGCAUCUAUGCACCUCAGCAGUCCCAAAUCUGGAGUCCUCUUGUACAAGAUUCCCCCACUUAAGAAAAAUCAACUAGCCAAUCAUUGAAUAGUUCUCUUUUGAUCACCUGUGGCAUGUACUGGAUAUACCCCGACUUGGUGUAUUCCUUGAUAUCAUGGAACCAAGGUUCGCCAUCAAUUUCCUCUUCAACCACAUUACAAUAAGCAUGUUGAUCAUGAACUUGGAUAUGCAUAGGGUCGACAUAAGCUUUGUCCGGAUGAUGUAACAUUGACGACAGAUUAGCCAAAGCGUCGGUAAUCUCAUUGUGAAUCCUGGGAAUAUGUCUAAAUUCUACUGACCUGAAUCAUUGACAAAGAUCAUGUAGACACUGUCGAUACAGUAUGAGCUUUAAAUCACAAGUCUCCCAUUCUCCUUGAAUCUGGUGAACCAACAAAUCUAAAUCUCCUAAAACGAGUAUUUUCUGGAUUCCCAUGUCUAUAGCUAACCUCAAACCCAGAAUGCAUGCUUCGUACUCAGCCAUGUUGUUGGUACAAUAAAAUCGAAGUUGGGCUGUUACAGGGUAGUGUUGCCCUAUUUCAGAGAUAAGUACAACCCCUAUUCCGACCCCUUUCCUGUUAGCAGCUCCAUCAAAGAAGAGUUUCCAACCUGGCUUUUCAUCAUGGUCAACCUCGUCACACACAUGACCUCUUCAUCAGGAAAAUAAGUCUUCAGUGGCUCAUAUUCAUCAUCCACCGGAUUCUCGUCCAAGUGAUCAGCCAAGGCUUGGGCUUUCAUUGCAGUCCGAGUUCUGUAAGUAAAAUCUGCCACUUUGCAAGUCUUCCCGUGGGCAUAGGCUUCUGAAAGAUAUACUUUAGAGGAUCCAUGCGAGAAAUGGUAAGUAGUGUAGGAAGACAGAUAAUGCUUCAACUUUUGCGCCACCCAAGUCAGGGCGCAACAUGUCCUCUCAAGUAGAGUGUACUUAACGUCAUAUGGAGUGAACUUCUUACUGAGAUAAUAGAUUGAUUGCUCCUUCUUUCCUGUGAUGUCAUGUUGACCCAAUACACAACCAAAAUAAUUAUCCAAGACUGUUAAAUAGAGAAUUAAAGGUCUUCCAGGUUCUGGUGGGACCAACACAGGUGGAUUCGACAGGUACCUCUUGAUAUUAUCAAAUGCUUCUUGACACUCGUCAGUCCACUUGACUGUAACAUUCUUCUUCAGUAGAUUAAAGAUGGGCUCAUAGGUUGUCGUGAGUUGAGCAAUAAACCUGCUAAUGUAAUUUAACCUUCCAAGUAGGCUCAUCACCUCUGUUUUGUUCUUUGUCAGCGGUAACUCUUGAAUGGCUUUGAUCUUUAACGGAUCCAACUCAAUACCGCGUCUAUAGACCAUGAAUCCCAGUAGUUUCCCAGAGGGGACACCAAAUGCACAUUUUGCUGGAUUGAGCUUGAGGUUGUACCUAUGGAGCCUUUGGAAAAACUUCCUCAAGUCCCUGACAUAGUCAGACUUCUUCUUUGACUUUAUAAUCACAUCAUCUACAUAAACCUCAAUCUCCUUGUGUAUCAUGUCGUGAAAUAUGGUGGUCAUCGCCCUCAUAUAUGUUGCCCCAACAUUCUUCAGACCAAAUGGCAUUACUUGGUAGCAAUAUGUCCCCCAUGGCAUGAUGAAUGCUAUCUUUUCUGCAUCUUUCUCAUCCAUCAAGAUCUGUUGAUAUCCCGCGUAACAAUCUACAAAAGACCCAAUCUCAUGCUUGGCACAAUUAUCGAUCAGAAUGUGAAUGUUCGGCAAUGGAAAAUCAUCCUUUGGGCUUGCUUUGUUAAGAUCACGGUAAUCAACACAUACCCCGGUCUUACCAUCUUUCUUUGGUACUGGCACAACAUUGGCUAACUAAGUGGGAUAUCGAGUGACCCGAAUGACAUUUGCAGUAAGCUGCUUUGUGAUUUCUUCUUUGAUCUUCACACUAAUAUCAGUCUUGAACUUUCGCAACUUUUGCUUAACAGGAGGGAAUGUUGGAUCAGUUGGCAAUUUAUGAACUACCAAAACAGUGCUCAGGCCUGGCAUAUCGUCAUAUGACCAUGCAAAGACAUCUUUGUACUCAAACAAUGUUUUGAUUAUUUCAUCCUUAACUUGCGGUUCUAAAUGCACACUUAUCUUGGUUUCCCUAACAUCAUCCUGGUCCCCUAAAUUGAUUGCUUCAGUUUCAUUCAAAUUAAGCUUUGGUUCUUCUUCAAAUUGUUUUAGCUCGUUACUGAUUUCCUCAAAUGCUGCUUCUUUAUCAUAUUUUAUUUCAUCAUCAUAUUCUACUUCUUGGAUUGUUAUUUCAGGAUUAGAUUGGCUUUUAAGAUUCGGCUGAAAAUUCUUCAUGCAUGUCAUGUCACUGCAACCAGAAUUAAAGGAACUGUACAAAAGAAAAAAGAACAAAAUAAAACACUAUUAAGAAUAAUGGAAAAUGGGAAAUUGCAUUUCAUUGAAAAAUAAAAGGAUAGAGGGGUUUGAACAUCAAAACAAGCAAAAACUAAAAAUCUGGAUUACAACCCUGGAAUAACCCAGAUAACAAAAAGGAAAACAAAGCAAACUACCAAAACUCCUUCCUGGCGGGGAAAUGAGUAGCUUCCCAAUUGCUAAGCUUCACGUUUGGGCCAACGAGCUUCACAUCUACUUUACUAGAGCCUUCACCAACUUCUACCAUAUUGACCUCUUCGAACAGACUUUGGAACCUCUUGAUCAACUCUUCAUCAACAUCGACCACAGUUUUUGGGAUUGAGGAGGUUGGAGGUUUUUCGGCCCCUGGCUUGACAAAAGACUUAGAGAUGUGUGGGAUGGGCUUGGGGAGCAACCAUACCUUCUGUUUCAGAUUAUUUUAACCCUUUUCACGUCCUUCUCUGUGGGCAUGAAUCCCAAACCAAACGUACCAGGAUUCCCACUAGGACGCACUGAAUGCACAAUACGCUGCAGAGAUGAGCCCAAACCCUUGCCCGACACAAAACCAUUAUUUAACAUUUCGUUUGCAACCAUGACGGGCGCGAAGGAUAGCUUAGAACCCAGAAUGCAUUUUCCUUCAGGAAUUUUCUCAACAGACACUGUUUCAAAAGUCUGAUAGACCCAAGGUCCCUUAUCAUCUUCAGCUUCGAUGAACGGAACAAUUGUAUCAUUACAAGCUGACAAGUCCUCAUCACCGUGCACAACUAUUUCCUGCUUGUCCCAUUCAAACUUCACCAUUUGGUGCAGAGAAGACGGGACUACCUUAGCAACAUGUAUCCACGGCCUGCCCAACAACAGAUUGUAGGAGACAACCACAUCUAACACUUGGGAUUCCAUGGUAAACUCAACAGGCCCUAUCGACAAUUCGAGCAUUAUAUCUCCAACAGAAUCUUUACCUCCCCCAUCAAAGCCUCGAACACACACACUGUUCAAGUGGAUUCUUUCGGUGCCAAUCUUCAGUUUUUGCAGAGUAGACAAGGGACAAAUAUUAUCACUAAAUCCAUUAUCAACCAAAACCUUUGAGACAAUAAAAUCUUCACACUUCACCAUGAGAUAAAGAGCUCGGUUGUGUUUUGUACCCUCCAUAGGAAGUUCUUCGUCCGAGAAAGUGAUCCUAUUUGCUUCGAAGAUCUUGCCAACUAUCUUUUCCAAGUGGUUCACUGUGCUUAUCAGGAACAUGUGCCUCAUUCAAAAUCUUCAUCAAGACCCUGCGAUGUUCAUCUGAAUGUAUCAACAAAGACAAAAACAAAUCUGAGCUGGUGUUUUCCUUAACUGCUCCACAAUGGAAUAAUCCUACAUUUUCAACUUUUUCAGGAACUCCUCAGCCUCUUCCUCGGUGACCGAUUUCUUUACUAGCAUUUGGCUAUCCUUGAAUGGCUUGGCUUUCCUUAAUUCUUCUGGGGUGAAACAUCUCCCAGAAUGAUUCAAUCCUCCAGUUUCAUUAACUUCUUCCUCUAUUUAUUUUCCUUUGUAUGUCACUAUCACUUGUUUAUAAUUCCAUGGAAUAGACUUGGCAUCCACCACUGGUAUCUGGGUCACUGGUUUAAUGAUGAUAGGGGUAAUAGGAGCCCCCUUCACCGGCCCGAAUCAUCAUGACGGACUUAGAAGACUUCUUGGGCUCCCUAUCCUUGUGAACUAUUUCAAUCAUAUGUGUCUCUUCAUGGGAUGGAAAAGGGUUUUGGUUGAUGUUUAGCGUGUCUGGGCUUUGGACUACAAUUUGGUUUGUAUCAAUGAGCUCCUGGAUUGCCCGUUUCAAAUGCCAGCACUUCUCUAUGUCAUGCCUUGGAGAAUCAGAAUAAUNNNNNNNNNNNNNNNNNNNNNNNNNNNNNNNNNNNNNNNNNNNNNNNNNNNNNNNNNNNNNNNNNNNNNNNNNNNNNNNNNNNNNNNNNNNNNNNNNNNNNNNNNNNNNNNNNNNNNNNNNNNNNNNNNNNNNNNNNNNNNNNNNNNNNNNNNNNNNNNNNNNNNNNUGAGCAUAUGACUGUGCAUGGUGAACAAGGUAUUGGGAUGGCCUGGCUGAGUAUUGGGGGUUUUACGGGAAAAGUAAUGUUAAGGUGGAUUAUGUGGAGUUUGGGCGUAGGUUUGAGGUCGGGGUCGAGGAUGGGUGUAUUUAUGAAGUGAACCCCUCUGGCCAUGCCAUGAUCUGGAGACAACCAUAGCGACAUCUUCCUUCUUCUUCUUGCCUAGCAAACUUCCGAUACCACACUGGAUUGCCUGGGUGGUUGCUUUUAUAGCAGAAUAGCUCAUGAUCUUACUCGACUUGAGCCCCUCUUCCACCAUUUCUCCCAUCUUCACCACAUCAUUGAAAUACUUACCAAUGGCUGAGAUCAAGUGGCCAUAGUAAGUGGGCUCCAGUGCUUGAAAAAAGUAUUUAACCAUCUCGUCUUCUUCCAUCGGAUGAUUGACUCGUGCAACUUGCUCCCUCCAUCGGAACCCAUAUUCUCUAAAGCUUUCGCUGGGUUUCUUUUCCACCUUGGUCAGAGAUAGACGGUUUGGAAUAAUGUCUAUAUUGUACUGAAAGUGUGGGGCGAAGGCCUGAGCCAUAUCGUCCCAGGUGUACCACCUGCUAGCGUCCUGGCGGGUGUACCAUUCUAAAGCUGUCCCACUAAGACUUUGGCUGAAGUAUACUAUUAGUAAUUCAUAUUUUCCCCCGGCGCCUCUCAUUUUAUUGCAAUAACCUCUUAGAUGAGCUACAUAAUCCCCAUGUCCGUCAUACAAGUCAAAUUUGGGCAUCUUGAACCCGGCAAGCAGUUGGACAUCGGGGAACAAACACAAAUCCUUAUAGGCCACACUCACUUGGUUUCCCAACCCUUGUAUAUUUCUCAAUGAUUGCUCCAGACUCUGUACCUUCCUAAAUAUCUCUUCUUGCUCUGCGUUCUUGGGUGGUUUGUUAGUUUCAACAUGAGGCUCAAAUUGGGGAGUGUAAGAGUAAGGAUCUGGGAUUUUGAAGGUGGGCUCCGGUGCAUAGUAGUGGGCAUCUGUAGCGGGGAAUGCGGGCUCACUAGAGGAUCGGUGGAGGGUUGCUUGUGGAGGGGGUACAAAAAUAGGAGUAGAUGUUGGAGCAGAGUACGAGGUUGUUUUGGCUGGCGGAGCAUGAAAAGUUUGGGCCAAAGUGUCGGGGUAGUUAUGGUAAGGGGUAAAGCCCGGUCGUGUUGUGGGGAAAGAUCAAUGAUAUUGGGCAUCUGGGAUUGAGAAAGUGGUGGAAUGGAAGCAUGGUUUUCUGUGUAGUUGGUAGGGAACAAGGGUGGAGGGUGUCCCUUAAUCCAGUCUUGAUACAUUUCUGCCAUUUGAUGCUUCAACCUCCGGACCUCCUCUUGCAGUUCCGAUUCCGACUCAACAAUCUCUCUUGGUUGGUCUACAACUCUAGUGUCUACUUCCUUGCUAGCCAUGACUGUUUGACGCUUUGAUCGAGUGUUGUAUGGAUGACUUGCCAGGAUGCCAACAAACUAACCACCUUCCUAAAUUUAAAUAAAGAUAACAGAGGACAACAACACAAAACCACCAUGUUAGCGUUAGGGCAUUUAUCAUAUGAUAAUAUAACAUUACGUGAAAUGCACGUAGCAACAAUUAAUGGUUCUAAAAUAGCUUUGAGGGUCGCAGGGUCAUAUGGCAUCAUCCUGAUUUGCUCAUUUCAAUCCUUCCUUCUCUUUCUUUUCCAACACCUCUUAUCACCCUUUUCUCUUUUUCUUUCUCUUUUUAUUUUGAAAUAAAAAUGAUUUGAUCGAACCCGAUAUAGGUUGCCUACGUAUCAUGUCCCUCAUGAAUCAGACCAAGCGUAGUUCUGGGAAAGUGAUGGAAAAUAAACUAAAAAUAAAAUCUUUUGGGAUUUUUCAUUUAAAACUUUUCGAUAUUAAAAUACAAUAGGAAGUACGAUAACGAAAGACCUGAUAGACUCAACUACACUACAACAGACUCUGACACUACCUAAAGGAAUCAGUACUUCUAGACAAGACACGAAAGUAAAAGACAACAUAAGACAAUCUCAAAACACCUAAAUAGAAUGACUCCUCAAGCUGCUCCUGGAUGCGUCGGUCCUGACUUGGAUGGUCCUGGGCUGUCCGUCAUGCUCAAACUCUAUAACAUGCCUCGUAAAGAAACACCAAUGCUGGGAAUAAAGGCCCUGGCGUAUGCCCCCGCAUCCUGAAGGCCGACCCUAAACAAAUACUAGCCAUGCUGCUCCACGUUUGCUGCCAAUCCUGCUAACUGAGACUUUAUCAACUCAAGCUUAUCCCAGGGAUCCUGGUUCGAUGCCUCCUCAAAAUCAUCAGUUUGAACUGCCCGACCCCUAAGUUGUGCUGGCAAUGGGGUGCUGACCCCUGGCGGGACGGGCUAUAACCAAAUCAAGUACUCCUGAGUACACUCGGGCCUGUCAACGUCCUCUACUAAUGUAUUUUUCUUCAUCCUCUUUGCAUUGUUCCAGUAUUGCACGUACUUGAUUUUGUCAGCCGCCUUUUUGCUAAAAUUCAUGAUGUGCCUCCGAAGAUUCAAAGUUGGAGGCUCUGCUUGUCUUCUGCCCAACUGCUGCAUUACCCUAACGGGAGUGUAUUACCUGACACACUUGAGUCCUAUGAACAUCAGGAAAGGCUGCAUGAGGCACCCUACCAAGAUAUCAUCCAAAGGUAGCCAAAGGUAAGCCCACAAAACAUUCCCAUUUGUCCUCAAACCAAGGAACUCAAUCCAAGCCGUGACGCCUACUGGGUAUGUAAACUUAGGAGAUUUCAUCCUACGCUCGAUGCAUACCACCCGAUCCCUCAAGGCAUGGUCGAUGGGACAAAAUAAGGAAGCGGUGUGCAAAUGCUCCAUCAUCCACAGUAGUAGCAAAAGGUUACUUCUCUCAAAAUAUCUGACACCUCCCCUAACCUCACUCAGGGCUCGGUACAACUCUGCUAAGAUCAUUAGCACAACGGUAACGAUUUUGCUUUGCUUCUCAUGAAAUAGUGCCAUUACCACUGACUGCAAACGGGUGCUAAUGUGCCUCUCAUCUAAUGGAAAAACCAAUAAUCCCAACAAAGCAAGGCUGAAAGCUUCGAGGCGACGUCUUUGCCACUUUGCCUUGGUUGUGCAUAACUCAUCCCAAAAGACGUCAAAACUAUCCUGUGGUCAAUCUAGCAAAAAAAUAAUCCAAGGAUAUCCAGGACUGCUCAAGAUAUUUUAAAUGCUUAUUAUCUUUUAGGCCCAGGUCGCUGAGAAAUCUUGUCCUAGAGUGGUCUCGGGGAAGUAUCAUAUCCUUGCCUAUAUAGCUUAAACGAGUGAGAUCAGAUAUUUCCACCAAGGUAGGAGUCAUCUCACACUCUCCAAAUCUGAAAAUUAAAUUUUGCGGAUCCCAAUAAGUCAGCAUCACCUCCACUAAGUCUGGGCGAGGUGUGAUAUCAAGAAGGGAAGUUAAGGUGCCCAAUUUCUGCAUUAACUCAUGCUGCUCUAACAAUGAAAACAUUUUCCACCACUUGAUCAAUUUCCUAGGAAUCUUUACUACCAUCAGCACUUUGGAUAGAAUCAGCGGGUCCAUACCUGAAUGAAGAGAACGUGGUUAGCGACUCGGAACACUACGUGACACCACAACAUUUCCUAGUGGACAAAUGCAAGACACAAUUUGGCUAUAUUUUGCAGAUUGGCCUAAGUGGCUGAAAGUGACUAUUAGUGCAAACUUGACAAAGUUGACCCCUAAUGCACGAAAAAUACUCCAUUUAAAGCUUACAUGACUCCAACAUCCCAACAAUCAUGGCCUUAAAAAUUACUUUGCGAAAAGUGACCCUUUUUGCAAAAAUGGCUGAGAUGGCCAAAUGUGGCUAGAGAUGCAAACACGACAUGGAUGAACCUUAAAGUGAUAUGAAAUCGAGUUGUAAACUCAAGAUCCUAAGACAUGGGUAAUUGAACCACUUUUGCAAAAAUAACCCUAUUUUGCAAGAAUGGCCGAUGUGGCCAAAAGUGGCUAGACAUGCAAAUUUGACAGGAAUGAACCUUAGAGUUGAGAGGGCACUUCAUUGUAGACUCAGGGCUCUAAGAGAAGAGAUAACAAACUACUUUGAGAAAAUACUCCUAUUUUUGCAAAAAACGGCCGAUGUGGCCAAAUAUGGCUAUACAUGCAAGAUUUGGCUACGACCCCGGAAGCCAAGAACCUAGGACCUACUAGGAAGACCAGACCUUAUGUGGGUUGCCUACGUAUCCCGCCCCGGGAGACGAGAAUCAGGUUCACGUAGUUCAGGAAGAUGCAACUAAUGUGAAAAAACUAUAUUUUUUGUUUUUGAAAAAUGAUGAAAAAUGUAAAAACUUUUGGAUUUUUUUUUUAUUUAUUUUUUUUGGACAAUGAUGGAAAAUGUAACAUAUUUUUGGAUUUUCUUUUUCUUUCUUUUUGCUUGAAUUUUUGGAAAAUAAUGGAAAAGUGUAAAAUCUUUUUUGGAUUUUUUAUUUUCAAUUUUUUUUUUGAUUUUUGGAAAAAUAUGAAAGAAAAAUGCGGGUGGGCCCUACUUGCUUCAUUUUCACCCUUCUUUCCAAGACAUCGGUCCGCCAAAUGAUCUUUUUACCCUCACAGAUGCAACAUUUAGCACAUAGGAUGAUUAAAUGUCAUUUUGGGCCACGAGCCCAUUUUGACAAAAUUUGGAUAGGCUUCCUACAAAGGGACACGGUACCUGGGACCGAGCCCUACUAGGUCUAAAUGACAUGAUGCAAAUAAAAAUGACUUAAAGGCUGACCUAAGUUUGGGGUUCACUAACAAGGCAAUUCGGGGGAGCGUAUGGUCGAUGGUGGUUGCUCAAGCUUUUCACCCACUCCAUACGUCCGACGGCCCCCCCUCCUAAAUUAAGGGUGACUCAACAAAGAGUUCGUGCACGCGACGCGUGCUCCGAGACUUAUUGCAGAAAGAAUUGACCGAGUAAUGCAUAUGAUGACACUUAUAAAGCAGUAGACACAUAAAGCAAAAAGCGUAAACACAUAAACAACUAGCAAAUAACAACAUAUAAAAACAUAAUAAAAAUUAAGUAAAGCUAAUGAAAAAGCAUAAAAAUCUCAAUUCUAAAAGCCAACAAAAUCAAGUACUAGCUCAAACCUGUGAAAGUCCCCAACAGAGUCGCCAGAGGUGUCACACCCCUUUUUAACCAAACUCUACGUAAUCCUCUUAAAAUAAUAAAAAGAUUAGUAAAGCUCAAAAGGGUUUUUAAUUAAAAAGUGACAAAAUAUUGUGUGUCCAAAAGGAUUAACUCAGAGUCGCCACCUAACAUUGGUUUCGGUGUGCCAGGUCACCGUUUUUUUAAAACAAAAAAUUCCUUUAAAAUACUUUAGACUCCAAAACUAAGUCCGCACCAGAGAUUCGGGUAAGGGGGUUCAUUUGACUCGGGGAGAAGGUGUUAGGCACUUCUCAAGUCCCGUAACUAGUACGGUUGUGUACUCGAUCAAGUUGGCUUUUAAGAUAUUCAAAUUGAGGCAAAAACAAACACAGAAAAAUAAACACACAAAAGGGCUUGAGGUUGUCCCCCUCCUAAUAAAAGAAAAAUAAAGUACUACGAGUUCUAAUAUCGAUCUCCAAGUACAAAUACUUCGGGGCAUAUCCCGGAACAAAACAUAUACAAAUCCUUCGGGGUAUUCCCCUGAUAAAUUUAACUAAGGGAAUGACCUCUUUCCCCGAAAGAAGCUAAAACAAGAACAUCCUAAAAGUUUGCCUACCCAAAUAUUGUCGGCCUAAGCAUGCUCCUAGAGAAUAAUAUAAUAAAAUGAAGCAAAUGGAAUAACUAGAUAAAAGAAAAUUCUAAAUCAUGCUAAGAUUUUGUUUUUAGCUUUUCACUUGAUUCGACCGAGCCCGAUACCUAAAGCAUAAAACAAAUUAAUUGCUAAUGGGCUGGUCGCACCCCCAAGUCCCACGACCCUUCAUGAUAAGCAUAAAUCAAGCCAAACAAACAACUAAUAAGCUUCUAAACAAUUGUUCAUGGACAAAUAAAUUGCCGAUACAUCAUGGUCGCAGUUAAGCUUAAGGCAGUUCUCAACACGUUGGCAUAAUAAUAACACUCAAUCGCAUCUAAAAGGAUUAAAUACUCACGACUUAACAUACAAACAACUGUAGAAGACCCAAAUACACAAACUAAUUUUCAAGCAAACUUCAGAAGCUUCAAACAUAGCACGUUUUCCCUUUCUUUUCCUUUGUUAAAAUAACAAACUUGAUACAUAAUCUCAAACACUCCAGGAAUCUAACUAAAAGAAACUAAGUAGUCGAUUUUUUUUUAUAAUAAAGAAAGUGAAUAAAAUCCUAUAGUAAGGUUACUGAAUUCCUGAAGUAGCACCAUGAUAUUGAAAAUUAAUUAUAACUAGCCAACCCUUUUUAUAUUACUUUAGUCCUCUGAAGCCUUAUUUAUUAAAAAAUUAGUCAUGGAUUAAACCAAAAGGAAUUCCAGGAAAACAACUCAAUCUCAAAAAUACCAAAUGCUAUGACUAAAAGUAGGAUUAUGAGCCUCAUUUUACCUAUUUAUUCUGAGGAUUAGGCUAUUCUAGUGUCAAAAGAAGGAACUACGAUAACAGUCAUAAGCAUCUUGUUCAAUUUUUUUUUUUAAAAAAAUAAAUCAAUUUCCAAAGACAACUUUCUGCACAUUUCAUGUUUGGGAACAGAGUCACUAAGGAAAGCAAAUACCAGAACCAUAAAUUAGGAUAGGUUUUAAUAAGAAUCGACAACACAAAUGCAAAGCUAAUAUCCCUAAAUGGCCUUUUCAAUGCUUGAUUCACCAUAAAACAGUGCAGAUAAAAUGAGCAAAGAGAUGACCCUGAAAAUUUCAAGUUUCUUCUUAGCCGCGAAGGAUUAAGAGAGUCAGCUACAAUACUUUGAGUCGAACGGGAAACAGCAACCAAAAGGCAAGAACGCGAACCACGAACUCGACCCCGGUGAACCUCGAAUCGGCAACUGAAGACAGCAAACUCCCAAACCUCAAGUAAAUGCCAUGAUCUUAAACUGAAAUUGAAAAUGAAAGAAGAAAAAAAAAUGAAGAAACAAAGUUUUUUUUUCUUGUAUUGAAAAAGAAUUCCGAGCAAGAAAGAAAACUGGAUUUUUCUUUUUUCUUUUUUAUCUUUUUCUGGAAUCAACCAUAAGAAAAAUGAAAAGAGUAAAAAAAUAUCAAACUCCAAAGCCAAACCCCAAUUUUUUUCUCCCCCUUUUCUGUCCGAAAAUCCCCUAUAUAUAGGGAUCCUAGAAGCUUCUUCUCCUAAAAAUUCGAAAAUUAUCUCUCAAAAUAACUUCCAAGAACACUGAAAAAUCCCGAAAAUCUUCAUAAAACAAAAAUCGAAAAAAUGAAAGGCGUGGAUCGGCUUUCACUCACAUCCAACCGCUCCCAUUUAUCCGAGAUUUGUUCAAACAAACUAAAGCGCGUGAGGGAGAAGGCGGAUUCGAUUUGGGUGAAAUCAUUAGCGAAUAUCCUGAGUUUGCUAUCAUUGCUAUGCGGAAGAAGGAGAAGAGAGGGGGGGGGGACCAUGGGGUGAUCACUGGGUGAACUCGCCGGGUUUGGGCGAGUUCCGGCGAGUUUGGAGGCGGGCAACGAUAAGGGUUGCGGCUGGUCUUGAGAUUAGGUUUAGGAUUAGGUUUUUUGGGAAAUAUUGGGUUUAUAUUUGGGGGUGUGGGGAUUAAUCAUGG